Molecule: ribosomal RNA, 631 nt
Filed under: Marinobacter nauticus
Lineage: Bacteria; Pseudomonadati; Pseudomonadota; Gammaproteobacteria; Pseudomonadales; Marinobacteraceae
Description: bacterial SSU rRNA
Rfam family: Bacterial small subunit ribosomal RNA
Source: RNAcentral
AGCGGCGGACGGGUGAGUAAUGCUUAGGAAUCUGCCCAGUAGUGGGGGAUAGCCCGGGGAAACCCGGAUUAAUACCGCAUACGUCCUACGGGAGAAAGCAGGGGAUCUUCGGACCUUGCGCUAUUGGAUGAGCCUAAGUCGGAUUAGCUAGUUGGUGGGGUAAAGGCCUACCAAGGCGACGAUCCGUAGCUGGUCUGAGAGGAUGAUCAGCCACAUCGGGACUGAGACACGGCCCGAACUCCUACGGGAGGCAGCAGUGGGGAAUAUUGGACAAUGGGGGCAACCCUGAUCCAGCCAUGCCGCGUGUGUGAAGAAGGCUUUCGGGUUGUAAAGCACUUUCAGUAGGGAGGAAAACCUUAUGGCUAAUACCCAUGAGGCUUGACGUUACCUACAGAAGAAGCACCGGCUAACUCCGUGCCAGCAGCCGCGGUAAUACGGAGGGUGCAAGCGUUAAUCGGAAUUACUGGGCGUAAAGCGCGCGUAGGUGGUUUGGUAAGCGAGAUGUGAAAGCCCCGGGCUUAACCUGGGAACGGCAUUUCGAACUGUCAGACUAGAGUGUGGUAGAGGGUUAGUGGAAUUUCCUGUGUAGCGGUGAAAUGCGUAGAUAUAGGAAGGGAACACCAGUGGCGAA